This 300-nucleotide ribosomal RNA is filed under the name uncultured Kocuria sp. RNAcentral's name for it is "bacterial SSU rRNA". It matches the Rfam family "Bacterial small subunit ribosomal RNA", at positions 496 to 795 of the family's 1533-position model. Lineage: Bacteria; Bacillati; Actinomycetota; Actinomycetes; Micrococcales; Micrococcaceae. The record is from RNAcentral.
GGUAUGGGCGGGCUGGCGGCAGUGGUAAUACGGAGGGUGCAAGCGUUAAUCGGGAGUACUGGGCGUAAAGCGCACGCAGGCGGGUGGAUAAGUCAGAUGGGAAAGCCCCGGGCUCAACCGGGGAACUGCAUUUGGAACUGUCCGGCUAGAGUCGUGUAGAGGGGGGUAGAAGUCCAGGUGGAGCGGUGAAAUGCGUAGAGAUCUGGAGGAAGACCGGGGGCGAAGGCGGCCCCCUGGACAAAGACUGACGCUCAGGUGCGAAAGCGUGGGGAGCAAACAGGAUUAGAUACCCGUGUAGUC